GAUGAACGCUGGCGGCGUGCCUAAUACAUGCAAGUAGAACGCUGAAGGAGGAGCUUGCUCUUCUGGAUGAGUUGCGAACGGGUGAGUAACGCGUAGGUAACCUGCCUGGUAGCGGGGGAUAACUAUUGGAAACGAUAGCUAAUACCGCAUGACAACAGUUAUUGCAUGAUAACUGUUUAAAAGGGGCAACUGCUCCACUACUAGAUGGACCUGCGUUGUAUUAGCUAGUUGGUGAGGUAACGGCUCAUCAAGGCAACGUUAUAUAGCCGACCUGAGAGGGGGUACGGCCAGUGUGGGAAUGAGACAGAGCCCGAACGCCGACGGAAGACGGCAGUAGGCGAUCUUCGGCAAUGGACGGAAGUCUGACCGAGCAACGCCGCGUGAGUGCAGCAGGUUUUCGGAUCGUAAAGCUCUGUUGUAAGAGAAGAACGGGUGUGGGAGUGGAAAGUUCACACUGUGACGGUAUCUUACCAGAAAGGGACGGCUAACUACGUG
Molecule: ribosomal RNA, 495 nt
Filed under: uncultured bacterium
Lineage: Bacteria
Description: partial 16S ribosomal RNA
Rfam family: Bacterial small subunit ribosomal RNA
Source: RNAcentral